CACGUAGGGACCAAGCGUUGUCCGGAUUUAUUGGGCGUAAAGAGCUCGUAGGCGGUUCAGUCAGUCGGGUGUGAAAACUUCGGGCUUAACUCGAAGCAUGCAUCCGAUACUGCUGUGACUUAAGUCAGGUAGGGGAGUGGGGAAUUCCUGGUGUAGCGGUGAAAUGCGCAGAUAUCAGGAGGAACACCGGUGGCGAAGGCGCCACUCUGGGCCGGUACUGACGCUGAGGAGCGAAAGCGUGGGUAGCAAACAGG
This 254-nucleotide ribosomal RNA is filed under the name uncultured bacterium. RNAcentral describes it as "partial 16S ribosomal RNA". It matches the Rfam family "Bacterial small subunit ribosomal RNA", at positions 524 to 776 of the family's 1533-position model. The record is from RNAcentral.